UACGUAGGGUGCGAGCGUUGUCCGGAAUUACUGGGCGUAAAGAGCUCGUAGGUGGUUUGUCGCGUUGUCCGUGAAAACUCACAGCUCAACUGUGGGCGUGCGGGCGAUACGGGCAGACUAGAGUGAUGUAGGGGAGACUGGAAUUCCUGGUGUAGCGGUGAAAUGCGCAGAUAUCAGGAGGAACACCGAUGGCGAAGGCAGGUCUCUGGGCAUUAACUGACGCUGGAGGAGCGAAAGCAUGGGGAGCGAACAGG
RNAcentral lists this ribosomal RNA (254 nucleotides) under uncultured bacterium. RNAcentral describes it as "partial 16S ribosomal RNA". It matches the Rfam family "Bacterial small subunit ribosomal RNA", at positions 524 to 776 of the family's 1533-position model. The record is from RNAcentral.